GUUUGGAAUAUUGCACAAUGGAGGAAACUCUGAUGCAGCGACGCCGCGUGGAGGACGAAGGAUCUAGGUCUGUAAACUCCUUUUGCUGGGAAAGACUUAGGACGGUACCCAGCGAAUAAGCCCCGGCUAACUACGUGCCAGCAGCCGCGGUAAGACGUAGGGGGCGAGCGUUGUCCGGAUUUACUGGGCGUAAAGGGCGCGUAGGCGGCUCGUUAAGUGUGAAGUGAAAUCUCCAGGGCUCAACCCGGAAACUGCUUCGCAUACUGGCGAGCUUGAGGAACGCAGAGGUGACUGGAAUUCCCGGUGUAGCGGUGAAAUGCAUUGAUAUCGGGAGGAACUCCAACAGCGAAGGCAGGUCACUGGGCGUUAUCUGACGCUGAGGCGCGAAAGCGUGGGUAGCAAACAGGAUUAGAAACCCUAGUAGUCC
Molecule: ribosomal RNA, 427 nt
Filed under: uncultured bacterium
Lineage: Bacteria
Description: bacterial SSU rRNA
Rfam family: Bacterial small subunit ribosomal RNA
Source: RNAcentral